UCACGUUCCUAGGGAUGGAAAAGGACAGACGCCGUGCGGCUCCCCUCAUAGGAAGUACGUAGGGUAGUCACGUUCCUAGGGACGGAAAAGGACAGACGCCGUGCAGCUCCCCUCAUAGGAAGUACGUAGGGUAGUCAUAUUCCUAGGGAUGGAAAAGGACAGACGCCGUGCGGCUCCCCUCAUAGGAAGUACGUAGGGUAGUCACGUUCCUAGGGAUGGAAAAGGACAGACGCCGUGCGGCUCCCCUCAUAGGAAGUACGUAGGGUAGUCACGUUCCUAGGGAUGGAAAAGGACAGACACCGUGCAGCUCCCCUCAUAGGAAGUACGUAGGGUAGUCAUAUUCCUAGGGAUGGAAAAGGACAGACGCCGUGCGGCUCCCCUCAUAGGAAGUACGUAGGGUAGUCACAUUCCUAGGGACGGAACAGGACAGACGCCGUGCGGCUCCCCUCAUAGGAAGUACGUAGG
Molecule: long non-coding RNA, 465 nt
Filed under: Homo sapiens (human)
Lineage: Eukaryota; Metazoa; Chordata; Mammalia; Primates; Hominidae
Description: HSALNT0235650
Source: RNAcentral